GAGUUCACAUAGAGAGAAAUCAGUCAAGAGAACUAGACACUUCAGAAAGGUAUUUUGUUGGAAAGGUUUAUCACCUUAACAAAAGGGCUCAAGGAACCAAAGACACUAAACAGAGGGUCAGCAAUAACAAAAGAAAAAGUCAAAACAGUACUAAAUACAGAUAUAGCUACAGAAGUUAGCUUCACAUAUCACUGGUCUAUGUCUGAAAUGAACCAACGGUGGUGAUUAACCGAAAUCUAAACAGCAUUUUGUGAGAUGGGUCCGAGGUAAUCACCCUCCAAGCUCACAACAGCUUGGAAUUCCUUCUCCGCCUCCACAUACCUUGCUCCAACCACGAUGAAACGCACCACAGUGUCUUUCUCAAUUCUGGACAUCUUCUCAUUCAUAAAGAUGGGAUUUUCUCCAGGCACAUACUUGUAGUCAGCCAUCUUCUGAUGAGAGAGAUAUACCUUGUCUGUGGGGCCACAUCUCAAGAAGACACCAUGCUUCAAGAUCUUUUCAACAACCCCAUCUAAAAUCUCUCCACGGAAUAUCUUGAAGGUAAUGCAGCUGAACUCGACAGGGAAAAGCACAUCACCAGUGUGUUCUCGAACUUUCCCUUCCCCAAUCCUCUCCAAUGUAGUAACAGCCAUAAAGUAACCAAGACUUUUGGACGCCUUCUUCGAAGCGAAGUCAUCCAGGAGGCGAAUAACAAUUGCCUUCUGAAGCAUUAAACCUUCAACGUCAAGGUUCUCAGCAGGGAUUAUCACAUUCCAUGAUAAUUGAGAUUUCAAAAACAUUUUAUAUGACCUUCGGCGGAGAAACCGGCGACGGAGAAGGUGAGGUACGG
This 829-nucleotide unclassified non-coding RNA is filed under the name Hevea brasiliensis (rubber tree). The record is from RNAcentral. Lineage: Eukaryota; Viridiplantae; Streptophyta; Magnoliopsida; Malpighiales; Euphorbiaceae.